UAAAGUUUUUUUUUUUUAAACCAUGUAAGCCUUGUCAUACAUUUUAAGACUAUUUUACUAAAUCUGCCAAAUUUGUGAACACUACUAUUCCAUGUUUGUGCAUUGGCUUUAUAUGAGCGCUGUUAGCUUGGAACUGUUUUUGUUUUUGACCGCAGAAGGUCGUCUAUUUUUUAAUGCGAACUUCGCCUUGCGUUCGAGUGCAUUCCGCUGUAAUCCCCCGGAACGAGGCUCGCCCACACGAAGUACCCGUAGCUCUACACGGGCAAAGCAGACGCGGGGGUGGACUUUUUGACGAGGUCAGAGGUCGGGGGUGCAGACGUCCCCUUGCGUGUUUAUUUGGCAGCCAACACACUUCUGUUGUCCCGAUGAAUGUCAUGGAUAUAAUUGGGCGCACAAUGCGAAGUCCAAGUCAGCUGCUCCAUGUUUACAAAUGGCAAUUCAACAGACAGAAUAUAGCAAAAUUUAUGGCACACGAUGUAUGAAUUUUAAAAGAUAUUACAUAUAUUUUCAAAAGAUAA
Long non-coding RNA from Drosophila santomea, 518 nucleotides. RefSeq lists it as uncharacterized. The transcript is spliced from 2 exons. NCBI's taxonomy places the organism in Eukaryota, Metazoa, Arthropoda, Insecta, Diptera, Drosophilidae. The record is from RefSeq and is a predicted model, not a curated record.